GCCGAGGUGGCGGAAUGGGCAGACGCGCUACCUUGAGGGGGUAGUGCCCGAAAGGGCGUGGGGGUUCAAAUCCCUUCCUCGGCACCA
RNAcentral lists this transfer RNA (87 nucleotides) under Thermorudis peleae. RNAcentral's name for it is "tRNA-Leu". It matches the Rfam family "tRNA". From Rfam's summary of the family: Transfer RNA (tRNA) molecules are approximately 80 nucleotides in length. Their secondary structure includes four short double-helical elements and three loops (D, anti-codon, and T loops). Lineage: Bacteria; Pseudomonadati; Thermomicrobiota; Thermomicrobia. The record is from RNAcentral.